UGCUAAUGAAAGUGUAAGGCUGAGCCCAAUAAAUGGUUUGCUAAAAAUGCUUACCUGGUAACAGGUGUGGCCAUUAGCUUUCUGUGUAUUCACUAUAAUCAUUUUAUUGAUAUACAUAUAGAAUGCCUUAUUGGAAACACUUGCUAGAAUAUUUGACCUCUCAGAGGUUGUAGAACGUUUUUUAGUCAUCAAUAGUUGCAAUGUAAAUUAGAAAAGCAUAAAAUUAAAACAUGUAAAUGCUUUUAGUUCCUGAAAAUUUGAAUUUUUUUUUUUUUUUUUUUUUUUUAGUUUUUGAGGUUGAUUUCCUGGUACUUAUACUGUUUUCUUAUCCUUUAUUGCUGUGAAUGUAAGGGAUGGAAUAAACAUAAGGGAGUUGGAUAGAUCAGUAAAAACAUUAACUUAAAUAAAACCAUUUAUUUCUCACUCACGUAGUAGUGUUUCAUGAAUUUUAUGUGCUAAGUUCUUUCAAAAAAACCCCAAUAUACUAAAAUUUAGGAAAUGCGAAUUGCAGAUGAGGCUGUCAUCAUCAUAAUUCCUGCUGUUCAAGAAAAAUUACAUCGAAGUUGGAAAAUAAUUAUAUUUUGUUACAUUCAAUGAUCGCAAUCCUAGUAGAUUGUGUGGUAGGUAUCUGUAGAUAUCUGUAUAUAACCCUAUAUAUAAUCCUAUAUAGAUAUCUACAGAAAUAUGUAUUUGGUCAUUUGCAGCUGUGAGAUGGGAUAUUUGCUCUUUAAAAUCUUUAAAACACAUUAAGUCUAUUGGUGAUUCGGCUGAGACAUCUACAAAUGCACAUAUGUAAAUGGGUCUGCAGCAUGUAUCAGGCAUCGCAUUAUUUAACAGGUUUGAAAAUUCAUUGUUCACACUAAACUCCGUAGGUGUUAACAGUUUAGUUGAUAUUUUUAGUUCAAUUGGCCAGUAUGUAUCCUCUUCAUGGCUCUUCCACAGGAGAAUUUUUUUUUUUUCUAAUUUAAACACAAGUACAUUUUCGUUGUUUACCGUUUGUGGAGUAUAUAUAGUUUUUUCAAAUAGGCACACUAGAGAGUGUACAAUGUGGUGUAUUUUUGUCAAUAUUUGGAAAUAUUUAUAGACAGAGCAGAAAGCAUAACAAAUAAAACCAAAGACACUCCCACUAUUAUGUAAACUUGAUAAGAAAACAGGCUUUUCAAUUUCGUUUAUAUCUAGCAACUUAAAAAGGGGGUUGGCAUACAGUAGGUACUUAAUAGGUAUCUGUUGAAGGGGAAAGAAAGACAUGACAUCCUCUGCUUUAUGAAAUAGUUGGGGUCUGAUGGGCUGUUCUUAGUGCUGGCACCUGAUGAUGCCUUAUCAAGGGACCCCAUGCCGUUUAGCAAAAAAAAAUCUGUUUCAGCCCCCUGUGUUCUUUUUCAAGGAAAUUAUUGAGGAUUUAAAAGUCUGACCACAUUGGAACAAAGAUUUAAUGAUAAACUUUUAGAUAUAGUGUCAAGAGAAUGAGCAAGAUCAUUUGAACUAGCAGCAUGACCUUCCAAAUGACAUAAUACCACUUGAUGUAACUACUUGUGCCCUAUAUUAACCUGUGAUUAGAAUAAAUACUCUCAAAUGUUCUAGGAUAAAAAGUUAAUUUUUUUUUCUCACUGAAAGCUUGACAAUGAACUUGAGACAUGUAAAUAUCUGAGUGAAUAAGAAGGUAGACUUAUGCAGCCCUGGCAGGUUUCUCUCUCUUUGGAAUCUCCGUACAUCAUGGAGAAAGAGAAAGCAAGGAACAAAUGUAUGGCCGUGAUACCUGCUUUUGGAAAGUUCUAGUUAUAGCUUUGAGCACAGCAGGUAGAAUAUGGCUACUGGUUAAGAAAACCUGGUAAUAUCCGAUCGUGAGUUUCCACUGGAUCCAUCUCUCGUCAUUAAAUGCCAGAUGCCCUGUGGAACAGGUCAAGGAUUUCCAAGAGAUGCUAGAACAGAUGUGUGAGAACACAGUUGGAAGAGAUAAAACCUUAUUUUCAAAGAUAACAUCCAUAUCAGAUCAAAGGUUGUUCCCAUACAGAGAAUUUGGGAAUCUACAUGUUGUAAAUCUUAGCUAAUGACUGACCAUGAGUACAUAAAAGAUAUUUUAAUAAUGACAAAAUUAGGAUAAUAAGACCAUCUAUUUCACAGAAUUACUCUGAGUAUCAAUUAAGCUAAUUAAGUUAAAUAACACAGACCACAGAGUCUCCAUCCCAGUCUGUCUCAAUCUUAAGAGCAUUAUAUGACCCAGUUCCAAGUUCUACUAUCUAAGAAGGGAUUGAUGUCCAGGAUCUUAACUUGGGGCACGCAGUUAAAAGAGGCCUUUCCUACAUCUUGGCACCUCAGCGAAUCUCAUAUUCCUAGGGAAGAUAGAUGAAAGUUAUGUUUGUAGAGUCGAAAUUAUCAACAGCUCACCAAAGUCACCAGCGGUUACCAUUAGGCAAUUAAAUGUGUAUUCACUUCCCACAUCGUCUGAGAGUCUUCAGAAGGCCCUGAGACAUUAGGAUAAACCAAGAAGGACACAUACAAGUUUUGGAAAUAAUCAGCUAUCAAAGAAGCUGUUAAAAGAGCUAUACAAAAGAAAUACGUAGAAUGCUUUCUGAGAACACAGCAGAGAAUAUUAGCUUCUGCCCAGGGAAAGAAGUAGGGUCAGGAGACGCUUACACGUUUCAAAAACAGUAAGUGUUCUACAAAGACUAAGGAAUAACAGUUUCAGGGGUUUGGUCCUUUGGGAAGGUUCGGGUAAGACAUUAUUGUUAUAGCGUAGUAGCAUAUUUUGGGGGACAAUGGCAAAGAACAGAGCUGAAAAGAUGAGCACGGUCUGACAUCUGAGGGUCUUUUGUGCCAAGCUAGGGGUUAGCCUUAUUGUGUUCUAAAUCAUAAAUAGUCUUAAAGAAUUUGGAGCAGAGGACGACUAGGAUUGGAUCUGGAUUUUGUAAAGAGCGCUCUCAGUGAUGUGAAAAAUAAUACCUAGGUAGGUGGGAUGGGGGGCAGGGAAAAUAGUUGGAAGUUUGUUGCAUCUGUUUGGUCCGGAAGUGAUGGGGUUUGAAUCAAAGCAGUGUGAGUUCGUAUGGAAGAAGGCUCCUGGGAAUUAUAGUCUCUUGGGUCAGAAACGAUGUGUCCAGCUAAAAUUCAGGGUUUCACUUAGGAAGAAGAGGAGAAGUAAUAGUGGGGCGAGUAAGUCACGUUCUCUGCCAUUGUCAACAAGAAUUAGUCAAUGACACCAGAAAUAAUUUUUCCGCCCACCCUUCCCACAGUUGGGGCCUCUCCUAAACUGACGGUCUGGCCCAAUGUGACAACAUUUACAUUGGAGUGCUACAUGACCGUAAUUCCAAUGUUUUUAAACUUGGGGUUUGAAAGUUUGUCUUGGCAGAUUUCCCUCGGUUUGGGUUUGGUUUGUUUGGCUAGAAAGUGGCAUAUUCAGACAGGCUUAAAUCCCAACCGUAGCAAACACAAUCUUCGGCUUUUCGGAUUCUAUAGUUCAACACACCAGUGAUCCUAGGUAGACAGCUCUGGAUUACACUUGGGACGUGCUGGCAAGAUGUAGGAGUUAGGUCAUGAAUAUAGCAUCGUUGGCUGCCUGGCGGAGGGGUAGAAAGAAAAUCGUGUCUGGAGUCUGGAAACGUGGUGCAGGCCUGACUCUGCCACUUGCUUCUUGUUAUUCCCUAGAGGAAAAUACAUCAAAUGUAAGUUUUUGGAUACACUGCAAAAUAGUUCCAUUUUAGACAAACUUCCUAACCCAUCACCCACCCAUUUCUGUCUCAUUUCACGUUCACGAUCCAGGAGAUGUACACAGGUAAAGCAUACUUCUGCCUAGUGUCUGUAUCCUUUGCUUAUCUUCUUGACUAAAGCCGCCUUGUUGAUAAUUUAAAAUAUUUUCUGGGGAUUUAUAUGUAUAUGGUGUUCCUGGCUGAAAUAAAACGAUUACUGGCAUUUGAUAAUUUAAUGAAUCUUUAUUUUUCCUGGAACUGAGAACAUUGAUGUUGCAAGGGAAAUGAUUAUCAAUGUUUCAUUAAAAGAAAAUCCGGUAAUCAAAUAAAAUAUAGAAUGAAGAGAAGUGCAUAUAGCUCGGUGUACUGGAGGCACAUAAUGUCUUUCAGCAGAAAGACAUCUGUUAAGAAAAAAAUAACCAGCAGUUAUCACCCUGACGACUCUUUGGUCCAAAGGCGUCUAGGACUGAUAUAUGGACGUUAACAGCAAAGCUACUCUUGUCUUGCAGCUUGUAGAACUCUUCCGGAAGCUGGGAAGAUCAGUCAUCUCCUUUUCCUGGGUUGUGAGGAGUAAAUAAAACAGUGUAUAUAAAAGCAUAUUGGAUGUUCUAAGUAAAAUACAAAUGUUUAUGAUUAUUCUUCUCAUCCGAGGAGACAGAAUUUCCAUUAGUUAGAAGGGCUCUAAGUGGCUUCAGGAGGCUGUUUCUUGAAGCAGAGCUGGCCAUACGCAUAGAAUUUGGGGGUUUGACUCAUAGAUGAUACAAAUGGGUAACCUUGCUUCAAUUGCCCAAGGAAAGACAUCCGUCUCACUAAGGGGACUGGGUAAUGGGGCUAUAAAACACGCUUGUGGACGGGUCUAGUGAGAAAUAUGAAAGUUGAAAUGGACAAGGAAAAUUACCUAUUGCAGCCCAAGAUGCUUGCUUUAAAAAUUGCACAGGGGAUAUUGAUCUGAUCAAGAAUGGCAAGAAAAAUACAUGGGAGCUACAUAUAUGUGUAUAUAUACAUAUAUAUAUACACAUAUAUAUAUGUAUAUGCAUAUUAUAUUUAUCUCUGUGGCAGAGUCAAAAAGGAAAAAAAGAUUAGAAUCUGACAUAUAAAAUAACCCUACAAAUGUGAUUUACCCACAGAGCACUGUUUGUUUUUGAGUGAUUUAAUUAUGCAUUUAAUGCUACAUGCUAUGGUAUUCAUUUGAUAGGCGAUCUAACAUCCACAUAUAAACUGUAACUGUUAGGUCAUUGUAAUCAAUCCUCUGAAAUGAUACUAACUUAUUUUUUUCUCUGCAAGUUCUUCACAUACUCAGUACAUGCAAUUCGAGUUUAAAGGUUGCAUUUUCCUCUGGCAGUAACUGGUUUUUUUAGAAAAAUAUCUCAGGAAAUAUGCCCAUUUCUUUAUAAACAUUAUCUCUUUUUGUUCCCCCAAAGGAUCAAGUAAAGUGAGUACUGUCUCCACCCUCAGUUUGCAGGGGCAACUGAAUCUCAGGCAGUGAACCGAGCAUCCUCAGGUCACAUGGCUGGCUAUGCAGAACCAGAAGUGACCUUGGUCUGCCUGACAUCAAACCCCUGCUCUCAGGAAAUUUACCAUACUGACGCUAAGGGGAUGCUAUCAGCCUAAAGAGGAAUUUCUACACUAUCUGUGCGGUUUUGUUUUCAUUUUUAAAAUUUCCUGCCCAUUGAGGACUUUUAUUUUUGUAAAAUACCAUAUAAUGUUACAGCAAAGUCAAAUUGCUAUAAAAGUUUUGAAAUGCUUCACUUUCUACCCUUAACUCAUUAUAAUUUGAUCAUAAACUGUUCACAAACUGGUUCCAAUCUCCUUCCAGUAGCAUGGAAUUAUAUUCCAAUUUGGGAUUUCUUAGAUCUCACUUUCUAGAAGUUUCUGGUGUCAUUGAAUUCAAGAUGUGGAGAGAGUUUCCACAGCAAAGUGAUUAUUUUCAUCUUUCGUCAUAAAUGACAUCAAAUGUCUAAUAUAAUUUGAGACCACUAGGAAGUGUUAUUAUCAUAACCCCCAAAACAGCCCUCCCAGAGAAACCCUCUCGGUUUUAUGAGCUUUAUAUAUGGUGCAUUUUAAAACAGGGAAGUUUAUAAAAUGUUUCCGUUUUUGCUUAGAUAUGUUUUUCAUCAUUAUCCAAAAUGUUAUGGGGUGGCUUUAGGGUUUAUGAUAUUAUUUGUAACGGGACUAAGAAUCUGGCGUUUUAUGCUACAGUUGUGUUUCUUUCUUGAUUCUUAGAAUUCACUUUUCCUUCCAAUAACUUGACCAAAGUCUAAAGAUUUGGUAAGAUUCCCCUUCAUAUGAGGUGGACAAGCAAGAGGACUAAGUGUCUCUUUAGACAUGCCUACCAGGAUUUCUAGCAAGUCUAAAGUGAAACACGUCCAGCCGGCACUCUCUGGGUUUCCAUCUUGAAUUAGGUAAGUAUUGGCAAACAGAAAUGGUGCUGUUCUCUUUAACCAAAUAUAUUGGCUAAGAGAGGGUUAUCAUUUAUCUAACUCCAUCUGAGAUGGGCAAUCUUCUAUGACCACAGGGGACAGGAGGAAAUUUAAGGAGUGCAGACUUCUGGGAGUAAAACAAAAGAUCCCGGUGGGACCUCGGCUGAAUGGAAAGCACUUACCCCUGUGAAGGCAUUACGGUCAAUAUUGUAAAGCUCUGUAUGAAGCCAACAAAACAGUCUCUGGGCUGCCUUUCUACUUCCAUCCUCUGUCUACAUCAGCAGCGUGAAUGUUAUAAAGCUUUAAAAUACAAUAAAAGCUAAUUCCAAACCUUUCAGCUUCGUCCAAUAUAAAAAUGGUUUUAACUUUCUGAUUUAUAAGCUACUUAUACGGAUCUCCCCCCAGCAACUAACAUUCUCCUGGUUUUGAGGACCAGGUGGAGGAGAGGGGAGAAAAUGUAAAUAAGAAGCAGAAAAUGAACGCUGUGGCAGAGCCUCGAAUCCACUGAGGCUGGGGUGGUGGUUUGUGUGGGAGGGAGGUAGGGCGGCCUCACUGAGGACUGGCUUCGCAAGGGAGGCAUAAACCGAGUUGAAGGAGGGUUCUACUCCUGGCUAAGAUUCAGUGAAUUCGUACUGUGUGUCAAGCACUGUGCUAGGCGUUUUGCACGGGAUGUUCUCAUUCAUUACUUUCAACAACUUUAUUAAGUAGUUACUCUCAGUUUCUCCUGAGGUGAGCUGGGUUUUCACUAGGGGGGUUUAAGCACAUUUGGACUCUUUGAUACAUCGUUACCGUAUUUACACACAUAAUUCAUAACUUCUUAGAGCAAAUAUUGAGGAUGGAAGAGAGUUUUUAUGCAUUUUAAGUGUUCUUAUUUACCUAGAUAAUGACUUGUUUUGUGUUUAUUCCUCUAGUUGCUGUGAGAUCCUCCAGGGAAGGGCUUGUCUCUGUUCUCGUUGGAACCCAUGAGAACGUAUGCUUUGUGGGGGCGGAGGUUUUCCUGUCUAGUUCAUGGAUGUAUCCCUGUGAAUAGGGCAACAUCUGCCUCAUACCAGGAGCUCAGUGAACAUUUCCAAAUGAGCAAGUGGAAUUUCCAAAUGAAUUGUUCCCAUUUUACAGGUGAGGAUGGAAAGAUUUAGUAACCUGAUUAGGGUUACAUGACUCAGUCUGAAUAAAAACCACUGUUCUUACCAAUUAUGUUAAUCUUCAUGCAAUGAGGAAAAAUUCAUCAGAAUAAAUAUUCGUGUGAAUCUGGACUUGGGUAGAUGAUCCUGGCCUCAGCAAGGAGAAUGGUUGGCCAUAUGGGGUCUGGGGUAUGAUGGGCACUGAGCUAGAACUGAGUGACUCUAAUAAAAGAGAUGGCGGGAGAUCAGACAGACACACUUCAGGACACAUUGACAGUUGGGGAUAAGAGAAAGGUAGUCACAGAUGACCUUAAAGUUUCUAGAAUUGGAGACUGAAUUUUUGCAGAAGCGUUCAGAAAUUUCUUCUUCAUCCCUGACCGAAGACCAGGCCCCUCCUUGACUGUAUGACCUCUACAGCGGGAAUGCCAUGUAGGAAAGGAACAAAAGAAGGAAAUCUCCCCUGCCCGGCUGAGUCAAGCCUGAGAAUUGCAGGACUUGCAGGGGCUCGUCAUCCUCAUGGCCAGUUUGAGGAACGGGCGAGAAAAGAGAAUACAGAUGAACAGUUCCUCUCUUAGGGUAGCUCAGAGCAGCGGUCCUAACUCACCUUCCCACUCCAGCUCCAAGACAAGUACAGGUCUGCACCUGAGAAGAAGUUGACCCCAGUUACCCAUGUUCAUUCCACCUCUGAGGGUCAGCCUGUGUGUUCAUGGUGCUUUCCCUUCCUGUUGUUGUCGCUUUAAAACAUAUCAUCUUUCGGCUGGUCCAAGUGCGGUGGUGUUUCCAAUUAACUGAUCACAGCCAGUUACAGAUCUCUGUUUCUUCUCCACUCCUCCUGCUUUGCUUGACUAGCCUUAAAAAAACAAAAACAAAGACUAUAUCAUCUUUCACUUUUUAGCAGUUGUCUUAGAGUAACUCUCUUAUAAUGCAUGUUAGGUGUAUGUUUUGAUUUUUAGUAGGUCAUAAGCAAUUUAAAAAGACCAUAUUUUUUUUUAUCCUAUGUAUCUCUAUGUUUUGUAUCUCUUAGCAUUUGUACUACAGUCAUCAUAUGCCCUGCGUGCUCAAAUAAUGUUGUGACGAUACAGCAGUAAUAGCUUCUCAAUUGAAUAUUUAUUCAGUGAUGAUAGGUAGGUAGAUAGAUACAUAGAUAGGUAGAUAGAAAAAGAGAGAUGAUGGAUGGAUAAAGGGAGUUUAUAGACAGAUGACAGAUAAAUAGUGAUAGAGAGAGGAAGAGAGAGAGAGAGGCGAUAGAGCUCUCUAUGUUUGUGACACAGCUGGAUGGGUAGGUAAAUGAGAUAGCCCAGCAUGACCCUUCCCAGUGAGUAAUCCCUACCUGGCAGACAAUUAGCUACCUUUGAGGAGGUGACCUGUCUAUCUUUAAGACAGUAGGGAAUCAUUGCUGAAAAAAGGUGGACUUAUUCUUGUUUCUUAAAGAACAAACUGUUCUCCUAAGUGUGGGCAAUUUAUUUUCAGGGACUGGAUUACUCAUUGGAAGUAUGAGACACACAGUACACAUCUAUGAGCUGAUGUGGGGACACUAGACAAGAUAUAGUUUGGACUUUCUCAGAGCCUACAUUCUGGAAUGCACCUAUUUGAAAUUCACUGGAGCUUCUAACAAAAAAUAAUACGUAAUUAGGAGAUUUAGGGGUCAGAUUAAUGGUGUAACAGGACUGUCACAGGGUUCUGGGAAAUCUUCCUCUCUGCCUCUAACAAUUUUGUUUUGCUGAAGUAUUACUGAUUUAAUGUCAGGAUUGUCCUCCUCAAUCUGUCAGGAUCAGAGCUCUAUAUCACAUUGGAAUAUAAUAUGUAAUGAACCUUAAUGCCAGACGUGGCCUUUAUCACAAAAGCCUUAUGGACAUUGAAUUGUAGGAGAAUUUAUUUUAGAGAUAAUAUAAGCUCGAAAGCAUGAUUGUUUGCUAAAAACAUUAUAAUUCUAAGCUCAGUGAUACUUUAUGCCACUUAAUGGUUUUGGGAUUAUUUAUUAGGGCAUUUCAAGUUCACAGAAGUUUUAAGAGCCCAAAAAGUGUUUACUACGCUGUCAUCUCAAAAGCAAUAGAACUGAAAGCAAAAGGAAAUGCUUCAGCCACCUUCAUUAAGAAGUUUAUUGAACUGCUCAUUUCAACAGCAGGGUAUAAACAGAGAAAACAGCCUCUAGAAAUAAAUAUUAAAAGCUCAUCUCCAUAGACUUAUAGGAGAGAACAGAGAGCUAACAACCUUUGAUACAGCUUAGGAGACUAUUCCUCAGCUGGAAAUGCACCAAAGAAAACCUUUCUAAGAAAGAAUUUUUUUUUUUUUUGAGAACGAAACGGAAAUUUUCUGAAAGCCUAUUAAAACACUCAGUGUGAAAUAAUAGAAAAAAUUAAAGGAUGCGUCAUAAAAUAAUACAGACUACAAAAUCAGCAGGUUAUAACAGAAAAGGAAAAAUACCACCUCAGUCAUGUUAAUAAAAUGGGAAGUGAAAUUAAACACUAUAAAUAAGAUUUCCUAAGCCUUUAAAAAGAAAAUGUUUCAAAGGGAAUCCUUUUUCUGAGGCCCGUUUCAAAUAACUCCUCUUUCAAUGAAAUGCUAUCAUUCUGCAUCUCAGUCUGGCUUGGGGUCGUGACACGUGGGUUCUGGGCAGUGGUGUGGUAGAGAGAUCAGGGUUUUGCAUGGAAAUGAAAUCCGGUUCAGCUCCUGGUUCUAUUUGGUGUUAUACAGCCUUGGACUAUUACUUUGUCCCCAGGAUCUUGGAUUUGCUAUCUGCGGGUUGCAUGAGGCCCAUUUGGGCUGGUGAUGAGAGUGUGGGUUGUAAAAGUGGGGAGAUCCGAGUUGGAAUCUGCCAUUACAACAUUAUGGGCGAGCAAGUUAUCCUGUACAGAAGCCUGUCUCCUAAUCUGUGAGAAGGAUGCUUGCCAUUAGCACCUGGUACAUAGUGCUCAAUAGAUCGGGGUCAGUGUGGCAUUGGUGAUAGUGGCAGGAAAGAUUAAGUGAGACACUAAUACAAAGCUCUUGAAAUCUGGCAAGUUGUAGGUAAACAGGAAUUCUCUUUCUCUGUCCUACUAUGUUUAAGCAAGACAUAAGGUCCUUAAUGGCAAAGGCCAGCAGUUCCCAUCGUGCCUAUUACAUAAAAAUAUUUGGUUAGUAUCUGCUAAAUUAAUGACCAAUUGAGUAACCACACACAUGCUGUCUUUACGAUCGUGUAGUACCUUGGAGUGUCUGAUCCUUCUUGUGUCUUCCUUUGAAAAGCAGAGCAACCCCAUGAGCUAAGUAUCACUGCUAUAUUUUCCCCAUUUUUCAAACAUGGGUAGGGUUCAGAAAAGCUACUGUAUACUAACUGAGUGACAUAGCUGGUUAGUGGAUCCAGUAAUUCAGUGUGCUUUCUGUGAUCACACACAGAUUUCGGGGAAGUUCGAAAAUUCUGUACAGAGAAAUCGCUGCUCACACAUAAGAAACAGACCUCGUGUAGGAACACACCAAACUCCUCCAGAAAGAUAGUGUUGGGAAGCACAUAGCAUCGAUAGCACCACAUCCCUCUUUGGAGGAGCCCCUAGAGCUUCGUGGGCCACAGACAGCUUCCGAGGGCCAUCUUUUCCAAAGAUGCAGACAAACCCAGCGUGAUUCUGCUCACUUGGUACAAAACUGGAAAGAACAAAACACAGGGGAUCUGGAUGUUCCUUUAAUCGAUUUCGCACCUGGCCUCUAAAGUCAAACAAACGUUAUGAGGCCAAAAAAGUGCAAAAGAAUGGAAAGAGGAUGCAAAACAGAAAUGCUCCUAUUCACUGAAUUGAGCCACGAAGAGCAGACAAGGAUGUUCUCUCUCCUUUCCUCUCUCUCCUCUUCUUAUUAACCUUGUUCUUUUCAUGUUAAGUCAAUUUGCAGAAUUCCUGUCUCCUGACUCCCCACUUCCCUUCCUGUCUUAAGCUCUGAGGAUUAAUGUAGCUGGCGAUCAGAUCUGGGCAACCAAGGACCACAGGUGGCUUUUGCUUGUAAACAGAAAGCUAAGGUGGUUUUAUUGUUUAUAUGGAAGUCAUUGAGCAGAUCAGUGGGUGGAUUAACUAGAAACUCUUCUUCCUGGGAAAGGUCAGAUUUGUGCAAAUAGGGAGGGCUCCUUGCAAGCUUGCUCUUGCUGCCUGGAAAAGCCCACACCUGCCCGCCCUCACAUCUCCUGGGAUACAGGUCAUCACCCCCAUUUUAUUAAAGGUAAUUAAUAAUUAUGCUAUGGUGACUGCCUCUCUGAUACUCUUAAAAUGGAAACACCCAAGAGGGGAACACCGGGGCAAAAAGAUCUGGGAUUUAGAGAAUAUGUGAGAAAAAUCUUUAAAUUAAUUUCGAAUGAGGUAAUUAUUGCCCUAAAUAAAUGGUAUGGUCUGGAGUAUAGGGAACAUUUUUUUUCAGGUUGCUUGAGGUCCAUUCUUGAAUAGGUAAUACAAUUAUCCAGCAAGUGAGAUGCCAGGAGUCUGAUGAGGGGAACAGGAAAAUUGAGAACACCUUUCCAGACUCAAGGAGCAAUACGGCUGCCUUUUGAGCGGCAGGUAGUACGGUGGGAAGAAGGUACACUUGACCAAGACUGAGGCUUAGGUCAAAUGGACUUUCUUUUGAUCAGCUCUGUGGCUUUGGACAGCUUAUUCAAUCUCUUUUGCUUGCUGCAUAGGUGUGCGUGUUUGUGACAACAUGUACGCCAUAGGUCAUACCGCGUGUUCAGUAGAGAAGCUCUCCUUUGACUCCGGGCACACCUCCCAGGUUAGUCAUACCUCAUAAAAGCAUCAUUAUAUCCCGCUGCAGAAGGGGAUGUGUCCACAUCAUUCAUUUCAUCAGAUUUGCCAUUCCCAGAUUGUGUGACUGUGCGGUUCCCAAGGGAUGCGACAUGCUCGAACGUUCGUCAGUCUCGGCAGACUAGUCGUGAACUGAGCUGAACGGAACUCAAGGAACUCACUCUUAGCACUCAGAUCCACUACUAUCAGACACUCUCCACUUGACCAGUGCAGACAGUCAGAGAUGUCUUAGGAAACUUCAUCAACCAUUUGCCUGUGACCCUUGAUCCAAUGAACGGGCUAAUUGCCUAGCAUGUGAUCCUGAGAUGGCACGCAGAUAAUGACAGUGACGCUAAGGACGGCCCAAGAUAGUCGAUAAAGGCCCCGUUAGAAAUGCAAAGUGCAAAGAGCUAAGUGUUAGGAAACGGCAGAGAGGGCAAUGCAUUGUGCAAUGAUGACAGAAUCGAGCAUGUUUUCAUGCCACUAGAUCAAUCAGGAAGAAAAAUUGAAACAUUUUUAUAAAUGAACAAAUGAUAUGUAGGGAGCUUUCUGCUCUCAGACGGGAUCCUUCAACCUGGUGGAAGGGGCAUUCUGCAGAGCCCAUGCCUGGGGGCUCCAGACGGCCCCCCCUGAGGAUGGCAGGACACUGCUGAAGCUGACACGCUGAGAUCAAAGGACGCCCGGGGGUGAAAUAAGGCCUUUUGUUAGUGUCUGCCUUCCUGGGGCUGCGAGUAUAAACAAAGAUCAUGGCCUUCACAAAAGCACACUAUCCACCAGGACUCUGCAUACCCUGGAGUCAAAGAGUCCCCUGGAAUUGAAACUUCUCAGGGGUAUUAGAUCAAAAAAAACCAUCCCUAAAAUCCCUUCUCAGGUGUCUUUCUGUCCUAACAGGCUCCUCUGAAAAGGUAAUGAGGAAUUCUGUGUGCAAAUACAGCGUGUGGUUGAGCGCUGAAGAAAACCCAAACUGAGGUCCAGUGGUAAUUUAUCUGCAAACCUUUGUGCUGCACCCCCCCCCGCCCCUUCCUGCUUCUCUCUCUCCCUCCUUAGGUCCUCAAAUUGGAAUGAGUUCCUUUUGUUAAGGAGGACGUAAUUCCAACAUUCCUGCCCAUUUCGGGAGAGCAUCGGGCCUGAUCUUGUCUCUGCACACGUAGGGCACCCACUGACUCCUGAGUGCUGAGCUCCCGUCUCCCGGCGCGGGGGCCGAGCAGGUGCAAGACCGGCUGCCUUUCCUCUAGAACUCUCUGUGGUCUGCUCGUCCGCAACGAGAGCUCUACCCUAGACCUUGGCUGGUAAGUAGCUAUAAUUUUCCAUCUGUGGCAACGGUAUACAUGUUCUUGACUCCUUGGAUUUUUCUGGAAAAGCAUUUUGAGUCUUCUCAUCUCUGCCACUGUGAUUCUCAAACAUGAACAUACUGUUGAAAAUGCCAAUUCCUUAAAUUUAAGAUUUUAGUAAUGUGGUUCGGUGAGUCAGUAAGUAGCCACAGAACCUGUAUUUUUAGAAACAUUCUAAGUGAGGGUAAGCCAGGCUGUCUGCACGCCGCACUGAGAAAUAACUCUCCUAUACUGUUUGCCAGGGCUUGCUUCUCUAGCCCACAUUCUUGCCUAUCUGUGCUGAUGAUAUCCGAUUUGCCCAGCCUUCUGUGGUCUUCCAGAACCUAUGCUCUCAAUGACCUGCCUUCUGCCAGGCUUCUCUGACUCAGCUAUACUUUUGGUUCUGGUCACGUCUGGCAAAAGAAGCUGAUACUCCAGGAUAAAGUUUUGUGUUUUCUGCCCUGUCAUAUAGAUAAGACAGAGAACAGAAAAAAAUGGAAGGUAACCAGGUUUUUGGGACGGUGGUUUUUCUCCCCUGCCUCCUGUCCUCAUUCAUAGAAGCAGUCGUACCUGAACAUGUCCACCAAAAUGCAUAGAAGUCGUUCAGGAAGAGAAGGGACAUCCAGAGAACACAGACCACAACUGAAAUGGAGUCACAUAUGUCAAGGACAAAAUGGAGACAGCUAAUGCAGGUGAUGAAGGAAACCUAACCCAACCUCCAAGGAAGUUACAACCCUUCUCAGAAAUUAGCAGAGGACAUCAGCCAAUUCCCAAAUGUCAAGUCUGUUCAUGCCAUUACUGGACUUCCUUCUUCAUCUGACAGCUAAUCUGAUCUAAAAUAAGAAAGAAGAUCAUUAGGAAACCAAUCAGCUGAAAAAACCAAAUCACCUCCUUAUUUAUCCCAUAAGAAUCCCUUAGUCUGUGAGCAACUUAAAACUCAUCGUUCCUAUAGCCUUGAGUUUCUUGGUUUACAGAUUGAAACCAUUACAACAAACUAAUCUUUCUGCUUUGUUUUAUUUAGUGUCCAAAGUUUGGUUUUUGACAAUGUCAAAUUCACCAUCAUUUGGGGAUGCCAAGAAACAAGUAAAAUUGAAGACCAUUCUAAACUGAGAUUUCCAGCUGGCAACAAAUACUAAAGAUGUAUCAGUUUACCUGGAGUACAUGGUCUCUACUUUUCCGUACACAAAAUACCAGCUGUUCAUUCACCCUUACCAUGGUUUUGUGAAAGUUGUGAAAUAGUACAAUUUUUUUGAAGUCUCUUCAAGAAGUAACUCAGCCUUCCAGGUAAGCUUUCUGUGAGACUCUGCAGUGUGGUCUGCUCGAGGCCCUUCAGGACUCCCUGCUCAUGGCUGGGCCUGAGCUAUAGGGGAGAGCCAGCAUGUCUGCACCUCACGUCCAUGGCUGUUGUAGAAGUUAACUUACGCUGAGCAAGGCCUCCUCGUCUGUGGUCCAGCUUCAUGCCAUAGUGAGAAGAGCAAGGCUGGAAAUCCAGGACAUCCUGAGCCUAGAUCCCAAGCCCAUAUCUUGCUGGGUCUGUGGUCUAAGGAGGCAAUGUGUUCUUCACUGCUCUGACAUCCAGUGUCCUGAUCUCAAAACUUGGUGAAAGAAUCCCAGCCUUGCAAGAUUAUUUUAAGCGUUAGAGAAAACACAUUAAAAAGGUUCUGGCACACAGUAGUUUCUCAAUAUAAAGUGAGUAUUAUUAUGAUUUUUGUUGCUAUAUUAUUAUAAGACUAUUUUAAACCACAUUCAAUUUCCGUAUUGGAAGAAUAUUGUCAUUUAAAACACUAUAUUAAUGUAUUUUAAAAUGCCAGCUGCUAAGUAUUUAGGGCCCGGUAGAGCUAUUAAUAUACAUAGAAUGGCAGAGGUUCAUAAGGUCCAGACACCAGUUUGAAAGAGUCCAGAGAGACUGAAAUUUAAAAGGAGGAAAACGAGCUGGGGGAAAGGACCGUGAGCUCUUUACAUCAUCUUCAAAAUGACAAGAAUAAGAACAACUAACAUGCAGUAAGCAUGGUGUACCAGGCAUAACUUUACCUGCAUUGUGACAUUAUUUCAUCAUUGCAGACAUCCUAUAUUGUGGCUUCUAUUGUUAUAUCCACUUUACAGAUGGAAAAACUGAGGCACUGAAAAGUCAGCUUAUUCAGUGUGAUGGUGAACAAAAAGAAUAAAGUCCUUAAUCUCAUCACUUACAUUAUGUUGGAACAUAAAGACAACAAAUACACAGACAAAAAAAUACAUAAAAUAUUUGGAGAAGAUAAGUGCAAGAAAGAAGGAAGCAGAAUAAGGGCUCGGAGUUGAAGAGGGUUCUAGCAGAACUGGGCUGGCUGCGAUGCCUGUCCUUCUGCCAAGAUGGUGCUUGAGUGAAAGCAAGGGGCUACGCGAGGGACAAGUUGAGCUCUGGAGGAAGAGCAGUGUGGCCAAGGGAAGGAUGAGAGCAAACAUCCAGGAGCAUCUGGAGAGAGCAAGCAAGAGGCGGUAGCAAAGACAGAGGAGAAACCAGAGGAGACAAGGAGCCCCAUCACAGAGAUCUGUAAGUUCAUGGAAGAACCGGAGUUCCAUUUUGAGGGAGAUGGUGAGCCAUUGAAGUCUUGAGCAGAAUGGAGAAUGAACCCCACUUUGAAAGACAGCUGGGUCUGUAUGAUAUGACAGUGGUGGAUGCAUGUCAUUGUCCAUUUGUUGGAACCCAUAGCAGGUACAACACCAAGAGUGAGCCCAAAUAUAAACUGUGGACUUUGGAUGAUGAUGAUGGAUCAAUGUAGGUUCAUCGAUUACAACAAAUGGACCCCUCUGGUGGGCAUAUUGACAGUGGGGGCUGUGUUGUGUCAGGUGGUGGGAGGUUUAUGGGUAAUCUCUGUAUUUUCCACUUAAUU
Molecule: long non-coding RNA, 16125 nt
Organism: Ailuropoda melanoleuca (giant panda)
Lineage: Eukaryota; Metazoa; Chordata; Mammalia; Carnivora; Ursidae
Exons: 3
Source: RefSeq, a predicted model, not a curated record